CCAUUUUCCUUCUUUAUGCACCGAGCAUUCUUUAUCAACAGCAGCUCAAAAACACCCUAAUAUUUCCUCACUCGUGCCAUCCUCGGCUCAAUUUCUACAACCAAAACUGAUCCGCCAUCAUCCCUCGAAACAGAACCAGCAUUGCACAUAACCGUGCAAUCAGCUGACCAACAGCAACCUCCCCAACUUGGCUCGAAGCCAUAUACCGAGGCACUCUUAACAACUCAUAGCACUUUUACUCCAAUGAUGCCACAAUGUUAUAGUGAGAUUAAACUCAAGUCAUUUACAAGUUUGUGAAUACAUAGAUCAUCUAGCACUGUCAUUCUCUGCGAAUCUCGCAUUCAUUUCCAUAUCAGCUCAGUCCAUUUCUUACGCAUCCCCAAAUUCUCAAAUUUCAACACAUACCCUUCAAUUAGACCUUCUAACACACACAAGGAUCAUACCCCUCAAAAACACUCCGCAGGAGAUAACUCACCCGCUUCACCUCAUUUCGAUAUUUCAAUAUACCUUCCCACCAUCAUAUACGUUACAAAACCAAUUAGUCUUUCUGAGUCUGAGCUCACACCCUCACAUGAAAUGUACAUUUUCCCACUAAGAGGCAUGAAAAAUAUUCUUCACGCGCCCAUAACUUGGGGCUACACAUCAGACUGCAAUAGAAAACAAAGACUUACCAACUCAUCUACUAUCCAUCAGACUUCUUCGUAACUACCAAUAUCACAUAGAUACCCCUCGCAGUACU
RNAcentral lists this long non-coding RNA (739 nucleotides) under Nicotiana benthamiana. RNAcentral's name for it is "long non-coding RNA (NBEN_LNC041006)". Lineage: Eukaryota; Viridiplantae; Streptophyta; Magnoliopsida; Solanales; Solanaceae. The record is from RNAcentral.